Xenopus laevis (African clawed frog) is the source of this 535-nucleotide long non-coding RNA. RefSeq lists it as uncharacterized. The transcript has 2 exons. Lineage: Eukaryota; Metazoa; Chordata; Amphibia; Anura; Pipidae. The record is from RefSeq and is a predicted model, not a curated record.
CGGUGUCCGGCACGUCGCCAUGCGAUGAUACGCAUGCAACAUGCUGGUUGUGCAGAAAAUAAGGGCACAGAACAGAAAAUCGCACGCACAAACUACAUGUAUCCGACUGUCAGAUGGAAACGCUGCACGCAGAGCGUCAUCGCAUAGGAACGUGUCGGACAAAGGCGCACAAUGCAGUUCAGGCCUAACACAUCAAAUGUUGAAAAACACGAACUUCCCUUUUUAAGUAUGAGAAAGCAAAUAACAGAGCAACCCAUUAUUACCUGUUCAACUGAGAUUUCAUCAAAAGCCUUUACAUAUUGUUGGUAGACAUUUUUCGGAUUUCCAGCUUCAGUUACAACAACGUCACCAUGAGGCUUUUUGACUGGGAAAAAACACACCACCAUUGAAUAAGACACCACUAUCAUCUGACCCAAGAGUUGUGCUAUGAAUAACUACAUCACCAUGCUCCCUAUUUAGUUUAAUAAGCUUAUCAAAAUAUAUAGAAGAGUCCCUUGAGUAACCUUUAAGAUAAAUUUCAUUAUGUUCUAGAAUG